UUAACUUGAAGAAAAGAAUGGAGCCAAAGGAGGAGUAGGAUUGAGAUGGGUUGUGCAAAGAUAGGGCCAAGUCCAGGAGGGACUUAGAAGUGUGAUUGGGAGCAAAUGGUUGAGUGUGCAAAGAUAGGGAGACCAGUACGGAUCAGUACGGAUCAGGGUCGAACCAUAUUGCAUAACUCGGCCAUUUGGGACAUUUUAGGACUUGUGCAAUAUUAGGGUGUUGUACGGUCAGUGCAAGCAAUCCGUACACAUCCUGAAGUUUGAACAAGUCUGUCUUGAGCCCCAAGGAAGAAGAAACUCGUGUGGCUGAUUAUGGGAAGAAGCCAAGAGGAGAUUCUGAUGCAAAGGGGCGCCAUGGUCUUUCUUUAGGACUUGGGAUCACUUGUGGAUAAGACAGCAAGGUGUGAGCUGGCGUGAGCUGUAAAGGAGAAGCACCCUUGAGCAUGUAUCUGGUCAGAUACAUGGGAACAUUCAUGGGAGCCUAUAAGGAGCCAAUGAGAAGCCAGCCCUUGCCUUGACCAGUUUGAAUUAACCAAUCAGAUACUAAAGAGAGCUGAACCAAUGAGAAGCCAUCACACAGAUCAAUCCCAAGCUCCAUCCUAGCCAUUCAUUCUCUCAAGUGUUUCUAUCCAUUAGAUUUAGGUUUCUAAUGUAUGCAAUGUGUAAAGCUUAUAAAAGCUAGUGUAAAGGGCGAUUUUGAGCCUUAAGGGAGUUUGGGGGAUUUCCCCUCUCCACUUCAUAAUGAAAUGUGUUCUUGAAUCAGAUUCCCUUUAAUCUCUCCCUUUCUUAUACUCUUAAUCUCUCAAAGUCUCUUGUUUCUGAUUUAAGUAAACACAUAAACACUCUUAUAAACUCUCUCUCUAAAAUCACCUAAAACAAACUCUAAUCUUCUCAGCUUGCUCCAUUGGAGCUUAUACACACACACAACCUGAGAUCUCUGAAAAUCUCAUAUGGUAUCAGAGCCAGGUUCAUCUGAAUCUGGUUGAAGCUUCCGCAAACCUCAGAGCACACUACCAUGUCCAUUUCAACCAAGAAGAAGCUGUCUGUUCUAUCCGGCUGUUCAACACCUCAAGAGGCAGGCGUGUUCAUCCUGGAGUCCAGAAGCUGUCUGCUGCUGUUCCUCAACAUCCCAUGUCGCCCUUGAAGAAAGAAGAUCCAAGGAAACAAAGGCAAUGGAGCGGAUUAGCUACCCUCUCUAACAAAGCCAGUUCCGGGUUCUUGCUAUUCAAAGUCCAAGAAGAAGUUUCUCAAGAAGAAAGCUUGCUGCUUGUACUGGUGUGGCGUGUACAACAUGGAGAAAGGUGGGAGCUUAGACAUGGUGGUUCAAAAGGAAAGGUCCAUGGAAGAUGGAGGCGUUGGAGUGCACACUAACAACUCAGAAUCUGUCCAAUGGAAUCAAGGAUCUAUACAAAGGUCCAUGGCUGUAAGAAAGUUCUUUCCUUUUGUAUAAAGCUUGAGUAUAUUGACAGGUUGUGUUGUGAUUGAAAACUUGUGGAUGUUUAAAGAUUGCUAGAUAUGAAAUGUUUAGAAUCUGUCCCAAGAUAACUAGAGAGUUGUGAAUGGUGAUUGAGAGUUGAAAAGCUUGCCUCGGUUCUAUAAUGAUUGUAUAGGAUGCUAGAUGAGUCUGAUCCUGUUUACUUUCAUUGAUUGAAACCGAGUAGUAUAAUAAAGCUUAGAGUGUUGUUGCUGCCUUAGGUUGAUGCACUUGGAUUCAAGUCUAAGAUGCAGUUAAGGCAGAAGUUAAAAUUGCCUAAGUGUCUUGUAAUGAAUCUGUAGGAUCAUACUAGAACUUAGAGAGCUAAGCUUGCAAUGAUUUGAAACUUGGGUGUCUUGUUUGAUCUUGCAUUGCUUUAGUGAGACAUUGGUGUUCAAGCUUGAUGUGGAAUCAAGGACUGACCCAAUGCACUUAUGUCUAAUCUUCUCUGGAAGUUGAGUGGUGUUUCAGGUGCACAAGGAGUGUUCUUAGUUCUUCACCAAUCCAAGAGAAAGAGGAAGGCAUUGCCCAUUGUCAUGAGCAAUGGAGAGCGGUUACUGAAGUGGUUUUGAGCCACUGGUUAGUGAAGACUCACGGCUGCUCACUUCCAAGCUUGGACCCUCAUUCUAUCCAAGCUUGAGGAGGGGAGUUAAGUGAGCAGAAGAAGAAAGUUCCACAAGAGCAUUCCCUGAAGCUGGCGAGUUGAAGAAGUGCUGCAAGGGUCUGAUGGUGUGAUCAUGAAGCUGCUCUCCCAAGCUUGACUUGUUCCACAUGGUCAAGCUUGAGGGGGAGUGUUGAGAAGACUUCAAAUGAUCACAAAGGUGCCGGUUCAAGAAGGUGGACGGCAGUGAGCAAAUGUAGAGAAUCAAGAAGCUCUCCUUCCAAGCUUGACUUGUUCCACAUGGUCAAGCUUGAGGGGGAGUGUUGAGAAGGCUUCUUGAUGAAGAGCACUUGGCGGUUAUUCAAGAAGAGGAGCAUACCGGUUUGUGAAGCAAGAUGGAGGAUGGUGAAGCAAUCUCCAAGGCGGCCAGAGCAGAGCAGCCUUGGUACUACAGACUGAGGCAUCCGAUCAUGAAGCUUUAGAACAAGGUGGAAACUCUAGAAGAAGAAGCAGCCAAGGCUCAGCUAUUACAAGAUGAAGAGUGAUGAGCAAGAGAAGAUGUGAUCUACCUUGCAUCACAAGAAGGGGCCGAGAUCCAGAGUCUUUGUGUCCCUUACAUUGUUGGUAAGGCACAAAGACUCACUGGCCAAUCCCUAGGCCUUGGAGGCUUUACUCUUUUUCCCUCAUCAAGGUUUUGUCCCAAAGGGUUUUCCUUGGUGAGGUUUUUAAUGAGGAAGUUCUUCAAGGUUCCAAGCUUGACUUAGGAUCUGCUAAAGUCAAGCUUGAGGGGGAGUGUUAACUUGAAGAAAAGAAUGGAGCCAAAGGAGGAGUAGGAUUGAGAUGGGUUGUGCAAAGAUAGGGCCAAGUCCAGGAGGGACUUAGAAGUGUGAUUGGGAGCAAAUGGUUGAGUGUGCAAAGAUAGGGAGACCAGUACGGAUCAGUACGGAUCAGGGUCGAACCAUAUUGCAUAACUCGGCCAUUUGGGACAUUUUAGGACUUGUGCAAUAUUAGGGUGUUGUACGGUCAGUGCAAGCAAUCCGUACACAUCCUGAAGUUUGAACAAGUCUGUCUUGAGCCCCAAGGAAGAAGAAACUCGUGUGGCUGAUUAUGGGAAGAAGCCAAGAGGAGAUUCUGAUGCAAAGGGGCGCCAUGGUCUUUCUUUAGGACUUGGGAUCACUUGUGGAUAAGACAGCAAGGUGUGAGCUGGCGUGAGCUGUAAAGGAGAAGCACCCUUGAGCAUGUAUCUGGUCAGAUACAUGGGAACAUUCAUGGGAGCCUAUAAGGAGCCAAUGAGAAGCCAGCCCUUGCCUUGACCAGUUUGAAUUAACCAAUCAGAUACUAAAGAGAGCUGAACCAAUGAGAAGCCAUCACACAGAUCAAUCCCAAGCUCCAUCCUAGCCAUUCAUUCUCUCAAGUGUUUCUAUCCAUUAGAUUUAGGUUUCUAAUGUAUGCAAUGUGUAAAGCUUAUAAAAGCUAGUGUAAAGGGCGAUUUUGAGCCUUAAGGGAGUUUGGGGGAUUUCCCCUCUCCACUUCAUAAUGAAAUGUGUUCUUGAAUCAGAUUCCCUUUAAUCUCUCCCUUUCUUAUACUCUUAAUCUCUCAAAGUCUCUUGUUUCUGAUUUAAGUAAACACAUAAACACUCUUAUAAACUCUCUCUCUAAAAUCACCUAAAACAAACUCUAAUCUUCUCAGCUUGCUCCAUUGGAGCUUAU
This 3785-nucleotide long non-coding RNA is filed under the name Brassica rapa (field mustard). RNAcentral describes it as "long non-coding RNA (BRAP_LNC008803)". The record is from RNAcentral. Lineage: Eukaryota; Viridiplantae; Streptophyta; Magnoliopsida; Brassicales; Brassicaceae.